GUGGGGAAUAUUGCACAAUGGGCGAAAGCCUGAUGCAGCGACGCCGCGUGAGGGAUGACGGCCUUCGGGUUGUAAACCUCUUUCAGCUCCGACGAAGCGAAAGUGACGGUAGGGGCAGAAGAAGCACCGGCCAACUACGUGCCAGCAGCCGCGGUAAUACGUAGGGUGCAAGCGUUGUCCGGAAUUAUUGGGCGUAAAGAGCUCGUAGGCGGCUUGUCGCGUCGGCUGUGAAAACCUGGGGCUCAACCCCGGGCCUGCAGCCGAUACGGGCAAGCUAGAAUUCGGUAGGGGAGACUGGAAUUCCUGGUGUAGCGGUGAAAUGCGCAGAUAUCAGGAGGAACACCGGUGGCGAAGGCGGGUCUCUGGGCCGAAAUUGACGCUGAGGAGCGAAAGCGUGGGGAGCAAACAGGAUUAGAAACCCGGGUAGUCC
Molecule: ribosomal RNA, 430 nt
Filed under: uncultured bacterium
Lineage: Bacteria
Description: bacterial SSU rRNA
Rfam family: Bacterial small subunit ribosomal RNA
Source: RNAcentral